GGGGAAUAUUGCACAAUGGAGGAAACUCUGAUGCAGCAAUGCCGCGUGAGUGAAGAAGGCCCUUGGGUCGUAAAGCUCUUUUAUGGGGGAAGAUGAUGACGGUACCCCAGGAAUAAGCACCGGCUAACUACGUGCCAGCAGCCGCGGUAAUACGUAGGGUGCGAGCGUUGUUCGGAAUUACUGGGCGUAAAGGGCGCGCAGGCGGAGGUGCAAGUCGGAGGUGAAAGCCCGGGGCUCAACCCCGGAGGGUCUUUCGAAACUGCAUCUCUAGAGAGGGUCAGGGGCCGGCAGAAUUCCUGGUGUAGAGGUGAAAUUCGUAGAUAUCAGGAGGAAUACCGGUGGCGAAAGCGGCCGGCUGGGGCCACUCUGACGCUGAGGCGCGAAAGCGUGGGGAGCAAACAGG
RNAcentral lists this ribosomal RNA (403 nucleotides) under uncultured bacterium. Its description in RNAcentral is "bacterial SSU rRNA". It matches the Rfam family "Bacterial small subunit ribosomal RNA", at positions 356 to 776 of the family's 1533-position model. The record is from RNAcentral.